This is a long non-coding RNA of Arachis stenosperma, 347 nucleotides long. RefSeq lists it as uncharacterized. NCBI's taxonomy places the organism in Eukaryota, Viridiplantae, Streptophyta, Magnoliopsida, Fabales, Fabaceae. The record is from RefSeq and is a predicted model, not a curated record. The transcript is spliced from 3 exons.
UGGGUUGUUAUCAAUAAUAAACCAACCACUAUAUAUAGCGGUAUCUGUACUACAGUAUUAACAGUUGCAAUUUUCCAUUGUUGGUUCAUUGAUGACCACAAUCACGAGGAUCCACUUUGUUUCAAGAUUCCCGUUCAAGCCACAUUUAUGUGGGAUGUCCCAGUACUUGCAUCUUGUGAACUAUGUUUCUGCUGAAAUUUGGUGCAAAGACAGUGAGAAGCUUGCACUCCUCGACUUCAAGUAAGAGAAAGAUGGUUGCCUUUGGAAAGAAGUUGAAAGACAGAGAACUUCAAGAAUGGCAGGGAUAUGUAUGUCUCUGCCUAUAUGUUGAGGAUAUUAUAUAAACU